Molecule: ribosomal RNA, 651 nt
Filed under: uncultured bacterium
Lineage: Bacteria
Description: bacterial SSU rRNA
Rfam family: Bacterial small subunit ribosomal RNA
Source: RNAcentral
ACACAUGCAGUCGAACGAAGUAGCAAUACUUAGUGGCAGACGGGUGAGUAACAUGUGGGUAUCUACCCUUUGGCCUGGAAUAACACGAGGAAACUUGUGCUAAUACCGGAUAAGUCUUUACGGAGAAAGCUUUAUGCACCAUUGGAUGAGCCCGCACUUGAUUAGUUUGUUGGUAGGGUAAUGGCCUACCAAGACUAUGAUCAAUAGCUGAUUUGAGAGGAUGAUCAGCCACAUUGGGACUGAGACACGGCCCAAACUCCUACGGGAGGCAGCAGUGGGGAAUCUUGCACAAUGGAGGAAACUCUGAUGCAGCGAUGCCGCGUGAGUGAAGAAGGCCUUUGGGUUGUAAAGCUCUUUCGUCGGGGAAGAAAAUGACUGUACCCGAAUAAGAAGGUCCGGCUAACUUCGUGCCAGCAGCCGCGGUAAUACGAAGGGACCUAGCGUAGUUCGGAAUUACUGGGCUUAAAGAGUUCGUAGGUGGUUGAAAAAGUUGGUGGUGAAAUCCCAGAGCUUAGCUCUGGAACUGCCAUCAAAACUUUUCAGCUAGAGUAUGAUAGAGGAAAGCAGAAUUUCUAGUGUAGAGGUGAAAUUCGUAGAUAUUAGAAAGAAUACCAAUUGCGAAGGCAGCUUUCUGGAUCAUUACUGACACUG